CAGCAGUCGCGAAAACUUUGCAAUAAGCGAAAGCUUGACAGGGCUAUCCCGAGUGCCAUCCGCUGAGGAAGGCUUUUACCCAGUCUAGAACGCUGGGGGAAUAAGGAGAGGGCAAGUCUGGUGUCAGCCGCCGCGGUAAUACCAGCUCUCCGAGUGGUGUGGAUGUUUAUUGGGCCUAAAGCAUCCGUAGCUGGCUAGGUCAGUCCCUUGUUAAAUCCACCGAAUUAAUCGUUGGAUUGCGGGGGAUACUGCUUGGCUAGGGGACGAGAGAGGCAGACGGUAUUUUCGGGGUAGGGGUGAAAUCCUAUAAUCCCGGGAAGACCACCAGUGGCGAAGGCUGUCUGCUAGAACGCGCCC
Molecule: ribosomal RNA, 357 nt
Filed under: uncultured crenarchaeote
Lineage: Archaea; Thermoproteati; Thermoproteota
Description: bacterial SSU rRNA
Rfam family: Archaeal small subunit ribosomal RNA
Source: RNAcentral